AUCAACUUUCGAUGGUAGGAUAGAGGCCUACCAUGGUGGUAACGGGUAACGGGGUGUUAGGGCACGACACCGGAGAGGGAGCCUGAGAAACGGCUACCACAUCCAAGGAUGGCAGCAGGCGCGCAAAUUACCCAAUCCCGACACGGGGAGGUAGUGACAAUAAAUAACAAUACGGGGUCCUUUCGGGUUUCGUAAUUGGAAUGAGUACAAUUUAAAUCUCUUAACGAGGAACAAUUGGAGGGCAAGUCUGGUGCCAGCAGCCGCGGUAAUUCCAGCUCCAAUAGCGUAUAUUAAAGUUGUUGCAGUUAAAAAGCUCGUAGUUGAAUUUCGGGAUUAGUACGUUGGUCGUGCCUUCGGUACGUACUGGUGUUACUGAUUCCUACCUUCUGACGAACCAUCAUGUCAUUAAUUUGGUGUGGUGGGAAAUCAGGACUGUUACUUUGAAAAAAUUAGAGUGUUUAAAGCAGGCUCGCGCUUGAAUACAUUAGCAUGGAAUAAUGAAAUAGGACGUUGACCCUAUUUUGUUGGUUUCUAGGAUUGACGUAAUGAUUAAUAGGGAUAGUUGGGGGCAUUAGUAUUCAAUUGUCAGAGGUGAAAUUCUUGGAUUUAUUGAAGACUAACUACUGCGAAAGCAUUUGCCAAGGAUGUUUUUAUUAAUCAAGAACGAAAGUUAGGGGAUCGAAGACGAUCAGAUACCGUCGUAGUCUUAACCAUAAACUAUGCCGACUAGGGAUCGGAUGAUGUUAUUUUUAAUGACUCAUUCGACGCCUUACGGGAAACCAAAGUGUUUGGGUUC
RNAcentral lists this ribosomal RNA (796 nucleotides) under uncultured Glomeromycotina. RNAcentral describes it as "SSU rRNA". It matches the Rfam family "Eukaryotic small subunit ribosomal RNA", at positions 314 to 1114 of the family's 1831-position model. The record is from RNAcentral. Lineage: Eukaryota; Fungi; Glomeromycota.